AGAGUUUGAUUCUGGCUCAGGACGAACGCUGGCGGCGUGCUUAACACAUGCAAGUCGAGCGGAGAAUAUAGCAAUAUAUUCUUAGCGGCGGACGGGUGAGUAACGCGUGGGUAACCUGCCUUUUACAGGGGGAUAACACUGGGAAACUAGUGCUAAUACCGCAUAAAAUAGUGAAGUGGCAUCACUUUACUAUCAAAGGAGCAAUCCGGUAAAAGAUGGACCCGCGUCCGAUUAGCUAGUUGGAGGGGUAACGGCCCACCAAGGCGACGAUCGGUAGCCGAACUGAGAGGUUGAUCGGCCACAUUGGGACUGAGACACGGCCCAGACUCCUACGGGAGGCAGCAGUGGGGAAUAUUGCGCCAAUGGGGGAAACCCUGACGCAGCAACGCCGCGUGAAGGAUGAAGGUUUUCGGAUUGUAAACUUCUUUGAUUGGGGACGAUAAUGACGGUACCCAAAAAACAAGCCACGGCUAACUACGUGCCAGCCGCCGC
RNAcentral lists this ribosomal RNA (492 nucleotides) under uncultured bacterium. Its description in RNAcentral is "bacterial SSU rRNA". It matches the Rfam family "Bacterial small subunit ribosomal RNA", at positions 8 to 518 of the family's 1533-position model. The record is from RNAcentral.